GUCUAUGGCCAUGCCACCCUGAACAAGCCCGAUCCCGUCUGAUCUCGGAAGCUAAGCAGGAUUGGGCCUGGUUAGUACUUGGAUGGGAGACCACCUAGGAACACCAGGUGCUGUAGGCG
Molecule: ribosomal RNA, 119 nt
Filed under: Pteropus alecto (black flying fox)
Lineage: Eukaryota; Metazoa; Chordata; Mammalia; Chiroptera; Pteropodidae
Source: RNAcentral